UCGUCAAGGCUAACGGAAGAAGAGAGAGAGUACAGCUUUGGGUUGUUAAGGUCAUAAGACUUGUGUGACUCUGAGAUCUUUUUCGCCAAGGCUGUACCCUCUCUCUUCGUCUCUUAGCAUCUUGAUGC
This 128-nucleotide microRNA precursor is filed under the name Setaria italica (foxtail millet). RNAcentral's name for it is "MIR529 microRNA precursor family". It matches the Rfam family "MIR529 microRNA precursor family". RNAcentral also lists the same sequence under 1 other name. The record is from Rfam by way of RNAcentral. Lineage: Eukaryota; Viridiplantae; Streptophyta; Magnoliopsida; Poales; Poaceae.